This 300-nucleotide ribosomal RNA is filed under the name uncultured beta proteobacterium. RNAcentral's name for it is "bacterial SSU rRNA". It matches the Rfam family "Bacterial small subunit ribosomal RNA", at positions 115 to 416 of the family's 1533-position model. The record is from RNAcentral. Lineage: Bacteria; Pseudomonadati; Pseudomonadota; Betaproteobacteria.
GCAUCGGAACGUGUCCCGUAGUGGGGGAUAACGCCGCGAAAGCGGCGCUAAUACCGCAUACGCUCUACGGAGGAAAGUGGGGGAUUCGCAAGGACCUCACGUUAUGGGGGCGGCCGAUGUCCGAUUAGCUAGUUGGUGGGGUAAUGGCUUACCAAGGCGACGAUCGGUAGCUGGUCUGAGAGGAUGAUCAGCCACACUGGGACUGAGACACGGCCCAGACUCCUACGGGAGGCAGCAGUGGGGAAUUUUGGACAAUGGGGGCAACCCUGAUCCAGCCAUGCCGCGUGCGGGAAGAAGGCC